RNAcentral lists this ribosomal RNA (406 nucleotides) under uncultured bacterium. RNAcentral describes it as "partial 16S ribosomal RNA". It matches the Rfam family "Bacterial small subunit ribosomal RNA", at positions 30 to 526 of the family's 1533-position model. The record is from RNAcentral.
AUUGAACGCUGGCGGCAGGCUUAACACAUGCAAGUCGAGCGAGCGGCGGACGGGUGAGUAAUGUCUGGGAAACUGCCUGAUGGAGGGGGAUAAAUACUGGAAACGGUAGCUAAUACCGCAUACCAUCAGAUGUGCCCAGAUUGGAGUAGCUAGUCGGUGGGUUAAUGGCUCACCUAGGCGAAGAUCCCUAGCUUGUCUGAGAGGAUGACCAGCCACACGGGAACUGAGAAACGGUCCAGACGCCUCCGGGAGGCAGCAUGGGGGAAUAUUGCACAAUGGGCGCAAGCCUGAUGCAGCCAUGCAGCGUGUGUGAAGAAGGCCUUCGGUUUGUAAAGCACUUUCAGCGAGGAGGCGUUACUCGCAGAAGAAGCACCGGCUAACUCCGUGCCAGCAGCCGCGGUAAUUC